This 282-nucleotide ribosomal RNA is filed under the name uncultured bacterium. Its description in RNAcentral is "partial 16S ribosomal RNA". It matches the Rfam family "Bacterial small subunit ribosomal RNA", at positions 40 to 339 of the family's 1533-position model. The record is from RNAcentral.
UUGCUUUGACGGAACCUUCGGGGAAGAUGAAGCAUGAAAGUGGCGGAUGGGUGAGUAACGCGUAAGAAACCUGCCUUUCACACCGGGAUAGCAGCUGGAAACGGCUAUUAAUACCGGAUGAUACUUUUCUGACGCAUGUUAGGAAGGUCAAAGAAUUUCGGUGAAAGAUGGUCUUGCGUCUGAUUAGCUCGUUGGUGGGGUAACGGCCUACCAAGGCGACGAUCAGUAGCCGGCCUGAGAGGGUGACCGGCCACAUUGGGACUGAGACACGGCCCAAACUCC